GCGUAACAUUCGCCCGAUUUUUUAACGAGAAGGACACACACUUUGGACAGUCAUAGUCGAUACCGAAUAUCGCUUUAGUCUCCCGCCUUAUGCCAAUGGCUAUCGGCGAGAGUUCGU
This 117-nucleotide non-coding RNA is filed under the name Rodentibacter trehalosifermentans. RNAcentral describes it as "Aggregatibacter sRNA 54". It matches the Rfam family "Aggregatibacter sRNA 54". From Rfam's summary of the family: Validated by RT-PCR, expression up-regulated during growth. The record is from Rfam by way of RNAcentral. Lineage: Bacteria; Pseudomonadati; Pseudomonadota; Gammaproteobacteria; Pasteurellales; Pasteurellaceae.